UACGGGAGUGGCAAGCGUUAUCCGGAAUUAUUGGGCGUAAAGCGUCUGCAGGCGGCCUUGUAAGUCUGCUGUCAAAGCGUGGAGCUUAACUCCAUAUCGGCAGUGGAAACUGUAAGGCUUGAGUGUGGUAGGGGCAGAGGGAAUUCCCGGUGUAGCGGUGAAAUGCGUAGAUAUCGGGAAGAACACCAGUGGCGAAGGCGCUCUGCUGGGCCAUCACUGACGCUCAUGGACGAAAGCCAGGGGAGCGAAAGGG
Molecule: ribosomal RNA, 253 nt
Filed under: uncultured bacterium
Lineage: Bacteria
Description: partial 16S ribosomal RNA
Rfam family: Bacterial small subunit ribosomal RNA
Source: RNAcentral